RNAcentral lists this long non-coding RNA (252 nucleotides) under Capsicum annuum. Its description in RNAcentral is "long non-coding RNA (CANN_LNC017395)". The record is from RNAcentral. Lineage: Eukaryota; Viridiplantae; Streptophyta; Magnoliopsida; Solanales; Solanaceae.
AGAUUUCCCUGCUCCCUUAAAGUCAGUAGAAUUUUAUAGAAGAAGUGUCAAAGAAAUGCUCCAGUUGAGUAUAAUUUUUUUCAGUAUGAGUUAGUCCAUAAAGCAAACAAUUUAGUUUAGCAGUCAGGCAGACAAGUUUGUAUGGUUUCCCAUCAUUAUACCCAGUCGUCCUAUUCAAAGUCUUAUGUGUAUGACCGUUCCAUAAUGGAGCAUCCUGGUAGUUACAAGUUUAGCUCAUUUCAUGUAUCAUGC